Molecule: long non-coding RNA, 2666 nt
Filed under: Ananas comosus (pineapple)
Lineage: Eukaryota; Viridiplantae; Streptophyta; Magnoliopsida; Poales; Bromeliaceae
Description: long non-coding RNA (ACOM_LNC037818)
Source: RNAcentral
AUUAUCGGGUGUUGAAAGAGUCUCCGUCAAUGUCACGCCCCGGGACCGGCGGUGUCACGCCCCGGGGUCCCUUUUCAGUUUAAAACAAAACAGAAAAGCGUCUGAAUUUUUUUUUUUUUGAAAACCUGACCCCAGAGUAUGCCAGAUCCGCCACAAAUACAGGAAAUCCACUGUUCACACGGACAGAGUCUCCCCUGUAUUUGCACGGCGUCGAUCAAAUACACAGUACAACCAGGAUACAACCACAACCAGAUGAAUAUAAAGAUAACUAUACAUUCAUACAUUCACCAUUCACAUCACAGUUUUACAUUCAAGGUUUAAACAGAAAUCCACAAAAAUCUUUUGAAAACUGUUUCCUACACAGAAACCUUUAUUCUUUUAAAAACGCUACCACGAGGGGUAGAAAACCUUUUAUUUUACAAAAUCGAGAAAUCCACAUUUUCAAAUGUAAAUAAAUACUGAACCACAUAAACCAACUAAACUAUAUAACAACAGGAAUACCAAGGAUAACCUGGGUCGGAAGCUCUAUCGACCGCUACACACGUACCUCACGUCUCGUCCCACUACUCAUCGCCCGCGAUACCUGAAAAAUGAUGGGGGAGGUGAGAACAUGUAAACAUGUCUCCCCUCCCAGUGGGUACCGCAAGCCGAAAAAGGCGAGGAGUACUCACCGGAUCAGGAAGAGAGCUAUACAACAACACGGAGAACUAGAUAGACAUAAGUGCUGGUAAGUAAAGAUGCUGAUAAGUAAGGAGCUGACAAGUAUAGAUGCAGGUAAAUAAAACAGUAGCUAUAAUAAACAGAUAAGGAUGUACUGAAAAUAAACACUACAGCUACUGUAUGCAUGCGUCAACUGAUGAUAAGCUCAAAAGUACCCAAUCUCGCUGCCCUAUUGGUCCGAAGACCUCAGGCCCAUGCCACACUGCUCAACCUGUACCUGACCCUCGCAAUGAAGCCCCUGGGUCAGAAGCACGGUACCUGACCCUCGCAAUGAAGCCCCUGGGUCAGAAGCAUAUACCCUCGCAAUAAAGCCCCUGGGCUCACGGGUUGGCAAUCCAACCACAUUUUCGGAAAAGAACACCCUCUUGCGGUGGAUCAGACCGCUGGUGUUCGUGAAAUGCGUACCUGCAGUGGCGAUCAAUGUAGUAUGCUCAAAGAUCAUCCAUCGGCAACUAGCCGACAAUCCAGCCCCUCAGGGCUAACCGACCGUAUGGGCCAUCAGCAACUAAUCGGCUACGUAUGUCAAGAUAGAACUGUAGCCACUCGACCGAAUAGGUCAUAGAUAUCAAAAUAGGGGAACCGCCCAACCAAAUCACAGAUAUAGUGAACAGAUAAGUCGACUCUACUCCUAAGCAUGAUAUCAACAUGGAACCAUCGACCGCAUGGGUCAUCAUGUAACCAAAUCGACCAACCAGGUCACAAGUAUAGCGUAUGAAACUCGACCAAUCAUGUCACAAGUAUAGGAUAUGAACUCGACCAAUCAUGUCACAAGUAUAUAAUCUAGAACUACCGUCGGCCACUAGCCGACAAUCCGACCCCUCAGGGUACACCGACCUCAACGGUCAUCGGACAACAGAAGUCAAAAGACCGACCAAUCAGGUCACUGAUACGAGGUACAAGAAACCACCAACCAGGUCACAAGUGUAGGAGAUGCAAUGUCGACCAACCAAGUCAUGGAGAUCACAUAGGAGAUCAGACCAACCAAAUCAUAAAUAUCAUAUACAGAUAAAGUCUACUCUACUCCUACACAUGAUACUACACCUGGCAACAACUAAGUAGAGUAAUAAGGAAACAGCAUGGGUGCAAGGCUCAACAUAUAUAUGGUAAGAGAUAUAAACAACAAGGGUAAAGGAAACGUCACCGAGUGAGCACCAUUGUACCAACGUCGGAUCGAAGUACCCACCUGUACAACUGUCGCGCCUGUCUCCUGACUGCAAAAGAACGUCAACAGGACCUAAGGGGGGUCCACUGGGUUAGUAUCUAACCCACGAAUAUAAAACACUAAACGUACAACCCCAUAAACAAUCCCACUGAGAUCAGUUUCUUAAAACCGACUACCGUAACUCGCCGGAAGUCCCGAAAAUCGUACCGGGACUCCGCCGGGACCACUGAAAUGUCUCGGAACGCACCGACUCAUGCUACGAGUCACCCGCUGCCACAAAACACAUCAAAUAAGAUGUCUUGGCAGCAAACCCAAAAUCUCGCCUCCAAACAAUUAUCGUCGGAUAAUCGUUCGGAUCCGGGUUCCCGAAAGUGUCUAUUUCGACACCAGAACCCACCGUCGCUCACCCGUCAUUUCUGAACUCUCGAAAUGACGCGAGUGACCAGCCAACAAGGCUCAGCGACUACACAAAAGCUCACAAAGCACCGUCGGAAUAAUUCCAAACCAAAACCGCGUUCCGUCGGCGAAUUUUGCCGACAAACGCACCGAAAAUACAUUUCCGAUCCUCGCAAAGGUUCGGGGCCUUGGACAAUCAGUCCAGAGGUUACCCACAAUUCAUCCAUGCUGCCAACAGCAGCCGCAACAACCUAAAAUACAUAAAAGCCCUCCCGAUUACCCGAAAUCGCAUUAUUUCAUGCGAUUUCGGCGCUUUUAUGGUCCGUCCAUGCAAACCAGGAGUCAUUCAGCCAAACCGAGACACCUACUGACAGGUCUCGGCGUGCCG